AUUGAACGCUGGCGGCAUACCUAACACAUGCAAGUCGAACGGUAGCAGGAUUGGCUUGCCAGUUGCUGACGAGUGGCGGACGGGUGAGUAAUGCGUAGGGAUCUGCCUUUGAGAGUGGGACAACUAGGGGAAACUUUAGCUAAUACCGCAUAUAGCCUACGGGUGAAAGCAGGGGACCUUCGGGCCUUGCGCUGAAAGAUGAACCUACGUCGGAUUAGCUAGUUGGUAGGGUAAAGGCCUACCAAGGCGCCGAUCCGUAACUGGUCUGAGAGGAGGACAAGUCAAACGGGGACUGAGACACGGCCCAGACUCCUACGGGAGGCAGCAGUGGGGAAUAUUGGACAAUGGGGGCAACCCUGAUCCAGCAAUGCCGCGUGUGUGAAGAAGGCCUGCGGGUUGUAAAGCACUUUGAUUGGGGAGGAAGUAUUUUAUUUUAAUAAAGUAGAGUAUUGACGUUACCCAAAGAACAAGCACUGGCUAACUCUGUGCCAGCCGCCGCAGUAA
This 504-nucleotide ribosomal RNA is filed under the name uncultured bacterium. RNAcentral describes it as "partial 16S ribosomal RNA". It matches the Rfam family "Bacterial small subunit ribosomal RNA", at positions 30 to 523 of the family's 1533-position model. The record is from RNAcentral.